Molecule: small nucleolar RNA, 138 nt
Organism: Tachyglossus aculeatus (Australian echidna)
Lineage: Eukaryota; Metazoa; Chordata; Mammalia; Monotremata; Tachyglossidae
Source: RefSeq, a predicted model, not a curated record
UCCCUUUCAGGGUCACACCUGGAGAGUUUCCAGGACUCUACCAGUCUCGACUACGGGAGGGAGAAUCAAGCAGAGGCAUACCCAUUCCAUUCCUAGCUUGGGUUGUGGCUAGCGAGUGGAAGGAAAUCUCCUAAAAGU